AUUUCAAAAAACACACCCUCAAGAAAUCAAACCACCAUUAGAACCCAUCAAUAGGGAAACCAUAAUGCGCUGAAGGCAUAAAAUACUAAUUAGAGAGAGCACUAUUAAACUUCAAACUACUAAAAUCAAACAAACAACAUAUGGAGGAUAGAAAAACCUAUAACAUAAAUAGACACAAAAAAAUGCCAAAUCCAAACGCAUAUAAUUGACAUUGGAAAUGAUAAUCCAACACAUACACGAAAUAACUGAUCCAGAAGAAAAAUAAAAACGAUAUUAAGGUUUGUGGGAGAGUAAUACCUGUUUGUUAACCUCUACACCAAUGGCGCGCUUGGUGACGUUCCAGACGCGACCGGUGCGGCCAUGGUAGAACUUAUGAGGCAUCCCCUUGUGGACGGCGCCGUUAACCUUGACGUCAACAUAAUCACCGAUGUGGUAAGUUCGGAGGUAAGUGGUGAGGGCGAUGGUUCCCUUCUUCCUGAAAGGACGAGAGAAGGAAUCUCUGGUGCGAGAUCUCAAACCGUGACCGGCCGGCAUGGUUGCUUACCUAGGGUUUGUCACUCACUCUCUGCGCUCGGCUUGGGUAGAAGGAAGUAUCGUAAACCUUCUUUACAUUUUCUUUUAUAGUGGAGCAGAUCGCUAGGGUUUUGGUAUGUCCAACGGCUUUUAAUUGGGCUUUUUUUUUAAAUGGGCUUAUGUGGUACAUCUCAGGCCUUAAUGAUAUCCAAUUCCCUUAACUACACACCCUUUUUUAAUAAAUAAGGUAGGAGUGGCUUAAAUAUAAUUUUAUUAAUUUUCCAAAUUAUGGAGUAUUCUAAUAAUAUUUUUUUUUCAUGAUAGUUGAGAUUAAAGAAAAUUCACGAUUUAGUCAGUGAAAUAUUUUUUGCUUUAAAAAUAUUAAAUUUGGUGUUAGAAAAAUAAUUCUAAUUGUGGAUAGCUAAGAAAUAUGCUACUUUUGUUUCUUUUUCUAAAUUUUGUUAUCAAAGUAAUUUUUUUAAUGUUCAGAUUGUAAGAUGAUAUCAUUUUAAUUUUAUUAUUCCAUACAUUUAAUUUUCAACAAAAGAAUAAAUUGUUGAAAAAAAAGUCUAAAAUAGUCAUUCUUUUACCAAUUAUCAAUCACUUAUAAAAGUCCAAAAUGUAAUAUUUAAUUCAGUUCUCAUCAUCAUGUUGUAUCACAUUUGGAUAAAUUCGCUGAUGAUUCAUCAUUUUGUUUUUUUAUAAUUUUAAUUUAUAUAUAAUUUUUAGCAAUCUUUAUCUUAAUUAUCAAUGAUAUUUCAAUUCAAAAAAUACAUACAAAAUAAUAUUAAAAAAUUAAUUAUGUUGCAUUUUAUAAUUUAAAUAUUCAAAUAAUUAAUAUAUAUAUAUAUAUAACAAUUAUAAAAAUAAAAAAUAUAUAUAUAUAGGUAAAAUGUAUGGAUGGGAGGUAGUUAUAUAUAUUCAUUUUUCUUCACUUAAAAAACUUAUUAUAAUGUGAGUUGCAGUUCAUGAAACCUAGUUAAAAAAAAGGAGAAUAUUUUUCACCAUCAAAAACUACCAAAUUGAGUUUUUGAGAAUUCAAGCUUAGUAAUUCAUGUCAUUAAUUGGAGAAAAAUAUAUAAGAGAUUGCCCUAAAGAACAAUGAAACAAAUCUUCUAUCACAAUCAACGUUUACAAAUAAUACUCAUGAGUUGUUAUUGAUAAAAAUUAAAUAAACGCAUUAUUUACCAUCUAGAAUGACGUAAUAAGAUGUUUAUACUUUGAAAACACAAUUAGAAAAUUCCAAAACGAGUUAGAAAUGAUACUAAGAAUAAAAUUAUGUAUACUAAAUAUGAAAGUAUGGAUUGGUGAUUUUAUCAAAAAUAGACAUUAGACAUCAUCAUGUGCAACACACUCACCAAAUACCAACAUAAAAAAAUAGUUUGAGGUGAUGGAUUUUAAAAAAAUUUAUUUGAAUUUAAAAUGUUAUAAAAACAUAAUUGAUAUCAUACACUUGCAAUCCUAAAAAAAAAGGACAUGAUUUUUCUCAAUACAACAAGACAACUAUGACUUAACUGAGGGCUAUUUGUUCUUACAUUUUCAUAUAUUUUUUUUCCAUCUCUAUAAAUUUUUAUAUUUUCAAAAAUACCUCUCUAUAAUAUUCUGGAUUACAUAAUCCGAUAGUCUUUUUUAACUUCCGAAUUACAUAAUUUGAAAAUCUAUUUUCAAACUCGUGUCUGGAUUAUAUAAUCUGGAGAAUACUAUAUAAGGGUGGCACAAUAAAUUUUCCCAUUGUGUAUGAGAUUGUGUAUUAGUAGAAAAACUCUUAACUAAGUUCGAUUUGGGUCAUAUCAAACCUAGGCCUGUCAUAGUAAACUAAAAGAUUUGGAACAGUAUUUUUGAAUUCAAAAUCUUCCUCCAUUUGUUUUUGUAAUUGGGGAGCCAAAACACCAAUUCUUAGACACCUUAAAUUAUAGUCCUUGUAAAGUUUGGCAUUUGAUCCCAACGACAAUACCACAUAAGAAUUUAUGAUGUAAAAAACACUAAAAUACUUUCUAACUGUAAUAAAUUAUUAAAAAAAUGUACAAGGAUUAAAACUUAAAUCAAGAAUUAUUAAGGACAAAAUAAAUGGUCAUAAACAGUAUUAACAGAUUAUUAUACCUUUAUUUUAUUACUUUGAAUUGAUGAAAAACAUAUUUUACAUAGAAAAAUUAAAAUUACAUCAUAGAAAUUAAAAUUUAACGAUAUUUUAUAUUUUACAUCGAAAUUUAUAUAAAAAGUGUCCUUGAAACCACUUAUGAGAAAAAUAAGUGGAUUCUAAACAAUAAUAACUUCAUAUUAUAAUCUGUAUUACCCAUAAAAUGAAAUUUACAAAUACAAGUAUUUAUUGUUUAAUGGUUUACUAAAAGUUAUACAAGUGUUAAAUAAAAUUUGAAGGAAUAAAAAAAAUUGUACUUAAGAAUCCUUGGCUAUUAAAUGGCUUAAACAGGAUUAUAAUUUGACUUAAUUCUGUUUUAAUUCUUAUAUUAAAUUUUUGUUUGAUUUUUUUAUUAUUUAAAAGAUGACCUAAACAAAAUUAGAGAUGAAAACAACACAAAAAGUUGAUUGUUUUAAUAAAAGACCUAAAUCAAGAUUAAAAACAAUUCUGAAGAACGAAAAGCAUAUUCAAUCGUAUUUACUUUAAAGAUUUUGAGGGCGUUGAUUGUGUAUAGUGGGGUGUUUGUACCAGUAGUUGCAACAAAUGAGGCCGAAUUGCAUUUGUUAAAGAACGAACCUAUCCACAAAAGAAAACCCUGUGGCAAUCACGAAGAUCAUUUGAAUGGAACUUCACAUGAAUUAAAGCACAAACAAAAUGAUCACUUACCAAACCAACAAUGAGAAAGUCAGCAAAAAGUCACAGUAAUUCAUCAUGUUAUUUCAGAGAACAGUCCUGAUUAUAUCCGCUUCCUAACUCUAAAAUGCCAUCACAAAAUUAUAAAAGAAUGCUGGAACAAACCAACAGCUCCAAUCAAGCUGCCAAUGCUUACAUUAAUAAAUAACUCUUAAGUGAACCUUAACCAAAAUUUAAUCAGUCUAAUAUUCUUUGUAUGUUCAACCAGGUAAACUCAUAGUUUAUCUAUGACAAAUUGUAAUAAAAGAAACAUGCAGAAUAUUCUUCCUGGACAGCAAAAAUAGAACAAAUCCUUGCUUAAAAAAGUGGCAAAAAAGCACUACCCAAUCCAACAAACAGCAAUGAAAAACAAAACACAAAACUAGUAACCGCCUUUAAGAUCGUUGACAACAUCAUACGGAAUAGGAGUGACGGUCUCCAGUGUAGCACCUUCCACCAUGAAACCAGGUUUAGGACCCUUGGGCUGCCUCUUGGUGCUAAUUUUCUCUCCCUUAGCUUUGGCAUCAGCCUUAAGUUGAUCAUUCUUGAUCUUCCUCAGCCGGAACUCCUCGGUGCACCUCGAGGGCAUCACGUGCUCCACACGCACGUGAAUCCUCUUUCUGAUUAUUCUGUUUCCGACCUACACAAAGUAUUUCAAUUACAUCAACUUCCCAUAUAAAAAGAAAUGCAUACGAGUUCAGAGCAGAAGCCUAAUAUAUCUAAUCGAGAAAGCCAUUAGGAUACAUCAAUUUUAAUAUUAAUAACGCGCUUAAAGCACAAAGCAGAAAUAACACAGAUUAGGAAGAAUCUAACAAUGAGCCAGUGAAGAAAUUAGAAGAAUGGAAGCAGAAAGGGUUUAGGGGAGAACGUAAUACCUGCUUGUUAACCUCGACACCAAUGGCGCGUUUGGUAACGUUCCAAACGCGGCCGGUGCGGCCAUGAUAGAACUUGUGGGGCAUUCCUUUGUGAACGGCGCCGUUUACCUUAAUGUCGACAUAAUCGCCGAUGUGGUAAGUUCGGAGGUAGGUGGUGAGGGCGAUGGUACCCUUCUUCCUGAAUGGACGAGAGAAGGAAUCUCUGGUUCGAGAUCUCAAACCGUGUCCAGCCGGCAUCUUUGGUUUACAGGGCUUUCUUUCUCUCUCACUACUCUGUGUUACCUAGGGUUUAUUUCCACUCCUUUUUAUAGUGUAUGUUCUUCCUACGAAUUUCUUCAUAGCCUCUACCGCCUUUCGUUUUAGCCAUUUGCCUCAAAUAUUUGCACCUAUAAAAAUAAAUUAAUUCUACUUAAUUAACAAAUAUACUACUUCUGUACUUUUUUACGUUUUUAUCCAAACAAAUUUAUUAUUUUUUAUGUUCAAAGUCCAGCAUUAUAUUGGUUAAUUGACUAGAUUUAAAAAAAAAUUAAAGAUAGUUCUAAAUUUAAAAAAUAAAUAUACUACGUAUUUUUUAAAAUAAGUCACACAAAAUUAAUUUCAACUUUUAAAUAUAGUAAUUUGACUUGUAAAAUUUAAGAAACAUAUAGUAAAACCUUGUUUUUACUUUUUAACAAUUAUAAUUAUUGAAUUUAAAAAAGGCGACCCAUUUUACAGGCUGUUAUGGCCAAGUCUACUUUGCUUACUCUAUUUAUAAUCUCAAAUAUUUGAAUAUUUUCCUUUUAUUAAUUAAGAAUAUGAAAAGAAAAAACCUCAAGUAUGCCUUGUGUAAAACUUUGUCAGAAAAGAUAGAAAAUAAUUUUAUGAUAUUUUUGACUUAAAAAAACAGUAUAACUUUGGUGUGAAAAGAAUAAUUUAAGAAGUCGUUUUAUAUCUAUUAUUAACUGUUUUAUAUUUUUUUAUGGAAAAUAGCUAUCAAUGUUUGUUAUGAUACCAUAACAAACAUGCAACGUUUUAUAUUUAUUAUUAACUGUUUUAUAUUUUUUUUUUAUGGAAAAUAGCUAUCAAUGUUUGUUAUGGUAACAUAACAAAUAUGCAAUUUCUUUGCUUUUGGACGUGAAAGGUGGUUUUUAGUAAGGGUGGUCAUGAAUUUUAAUCCAAUCCAAAGAUUUGGAUUAUAUUUAUAAUCUAAAUCCAUAUUUUUAAUAAAAAUAAUUUGGAUAUUCAAAUUCACAUAUUUGGAUUGGAUUUUAAGUAAAAAUUCAUAUCUUUAUAAAAAAAUUGUAUUUUAAAUAAAAAAUCAUGUUUUCUUAAAAAAUUAACAUAAUAUUAAUAUAAUAAUAUAUAUCAAUAAGUUAGAAUAUUAUAUAAAUAUUAAGAAAAUAUAAUAAAAUUAUAAUUUAAUAAAACUAAAAAAAAAUAAAGAUAACAUAAUAUAUACAUUUUUAAUAUUAAAAUAUAUCUACCUAUAAUACUUUAAUUAAACUUUGAAAAUAUUUAUAUCCAUUUAUUAUGUACAAAAUAUUAGAACAAAUAAAAUUAUAAAAAAAUGUAUAAAACUUGAUUGCAUAAUAAUGUAAUGUGUGUGAGACACUAACUAAAAUUAAAAAAGUGAAUAAGAGGUGGAACUAAGAAGUGGAACCAAGAGGUGCAGGAGAUUGAGAGAGAGGUGGAACCAAGAAAGAGCAACUAAAAUUUUAAAAAGUGAAUAAGAGGUGCAAGAGAGAGAGAAAACCACAAAUGAGAGAAAGUAUAGAAAGAUGGUUUAGAUAAAAUAGAGAAUUUGGAUUGGAAAUCUGGAUUUUCUAAUUUGAAGAUCUUUAUAAACAAAAUGGAUAUUUGUUCUGAAAAUAUAAUAAAAUAUAGAUCAAACUAAAAACUGGAUUUAAAUAAAUUGAUUUUUAAUGGAUUAGUGCAGUGCAGAAAUUGAGUAAUUUGACAAAAGUGGAUUUUUUGCCCAACCCUAAUUUUUAGGUGAGUCUCAAGCUUCCUUUGCUUUGAGAUGCGGCCUUGUGUGAAGAUGGUAUAAUGUGUGAGGAUAGAUUUUGUUUGCUCCUAGUAAUUUCAAAGAGAGAAAAAAAAAUGAAAAUAUGAUAAAUGAAUGUAAAGAUGGUGUGAAAGGGAAAAAAAGUGAGGUGAUAUAUGUUAAUAAGCUAUAUAAUAGAGACACUGAUACUGACACCGAAAUAUGUAAAAUUUCUAAAAUCUAGGACACGGAACACAGAUGUAUAUAUUAUAUAAUUAUGAACAGUAUAAAUUGACAAAAAAGAUUUUAUGUGUACAAGUAUAGUAGAAAGAUGUUUUUCAUGACUGAAUUUGUUUCUUAUUUUUAUAAUCAUAAUAACAAUUUAUAUAAUAAAAUUUGAAUUUUUAGAAAAUUAAUGUAUUUUUCAUUUUUUAAAUUGUUUUUAUUAGAACCGUACUAGAAUUGUCAAAAAUCUAACAAAUACUUUUUGAAUUGGACACUUCAUAGAUACGUGUUCUACAAGUAUCAUACAAGUGUCCGUAUCUAAUACAAGUAUCGGACAUCGACACAACAUGUAAGAGUAGUGUCUGAGCUUCAUAGUUAAUAAGAGAUAUAUAAGUAUAAAAAAACACUUUUGAAUUAUUAUAUACAUCUAUAAUUAAUUAUGGAGAUUUAUUAUCAUUAUAAUAAAAAAAUAAUUGAAAUAAUUUAUAAUAAUAAAUAAAUUUAUUAAUAAUAGGUAAAAUUAUAUUAUUUUUCAUUUAUUUUCACCAUCUUUCACCAAUUUAAAAAAGUUCAAUUUUCAUACCUUUUCACUUCUCUUAUUUUCUUUCUCCCUUCCUUAUUUUCCUUCUACUAAUCCAACCAAUCAUCAAGAAAAUACUUAAUCCCUGUCCUUUACUAGAACUGGCGAGGUAACCGGACAAGGCCUUCUUCAUGCGUGCCUAGAAACCUUCACGGAGCAAAGUAUUAACGAAAUUGUUCGUAGACAAGUUAGAACUCCACUGAACACCCAGUGUCUGUGAAAAGACAUUGCAAUAGCCUUGAACACAAAGAGUUAAAAAACAUUGAAUUCAUACUAUAUAAAUUGAAACAUUAUCGCACUUAAAAAUAGUGACUACUUAUAAUUAAUUUAAACAUUAAAACAACUGAACCACAUCAGCUCAUUUUCGGUAAAACGAGAGAUCCGAGAUUUUCAGUGGCAAUACUAUGAAGAACCAAUGUACAAAUCUCCAACAUAAACAUUCUGCGAGUGCUAUGGAGCAAUAUGCACCGUGUUGCUGCAAAGGACCUGAAUGUAGAGUGCAUAAUUCUCUUGACACUAUUCUAAAUGAACCCAGACAACCUGCAUAAAGCAUCAAGCAGUGCUUGCCAUUGACUCAAUAAGGAUCUGGUAACCUUCUGGUACAGAAGUCUGUGUCUGCACACAUUCCGUCAAUGCAGGAACAUCAGCAUUUACGUCUAAAACCCUUGCCAGUACAAGAAGAAGAUGAAAAUCAGAAAUUCGCUUCACAAAUGGAAGACUUUUCGUCCUGUCCAGAUGAUUCUUCAAAGCCUUCACAGUCAUCUGUGUGUUCCGGUUCUCAACGGGAAAUGUUGAUGAAAGAGGACCCUGCAUUUUGGUGACAAUACACUGGUAAGUUACUGACGGUUAAAAUUUACAAAGCAAACUAUAUGAUUUUUAUGAUUUGAAAAGAAAAGAAACAUUUUUAUGAAGACUGAAAUUUUAGUAGCAUAUACUUGGUUCAAGUCACAGGUAUACAAAAAAAAGAUUAGAAAACUUUUGGGUUGACAACUGUAUAACAUUUGACAGUUUAUCACUUUAAAAUAAAGAGAGAAAAGAAAAUAUAGUCAAUAAUUUAGCAAUCUGCAGCACAUAAAUUUGGCUAACCCUGGUUAAAGAGAUCAAGUGUUUGGCUGUCUUCUUUAGCGCUUAAAUUUUUUAACUAAAUAGCAUUGCUAUAAUUUUUUUAGCCUAAAAGAUACUUUUUAAAGUUAAAUUUUUUGGGUAAUGAGUUACUGGAACUUGAAGUUUAAACAAAAAGGAAAAGAAGGGAUAGAAGUAAAAAACAACAAAAACUAAUUCCUUUAAAAGCUCGUAUGACCAACUGUUUUAGAAGCUGCUUCUUUUUAAAGUUCUUUUUGUUAAAAGGGUUGAUUUUAUAAAAGACCCUUUUCUUAAAAUUAUAGUUGUCCAUCUUCUCCUAUCAAGGAGAAAAAUGACCAAAAACAAGUUGGGUAAUCAAACGUUACCUGGUAUCCUAUACCUAACAAGCACAGGACAACUAUUUAAAAAAGAAAGCCUCUGUGGUAGCAAUUGACAACUUAGAAAGAUCAUAUGAUCCUUCCAUACUCUUUCAACAUUUUAAGUUAUCUGAAAUAUGUAUCAUUUUGAUGAUCAAAGAAUCUUGGUAAUACGAUCACAACAAGUAGCAAUUCCCAAGCUUUUGGGAUAAAUAAAUUUGCCUGCUAUGUAACUAUUGACUGUCAUUUAAACUUCCUUUUUUUUUCUCAUGGAAGACUCCUUAAACCAAAAUAUCUACCUUCUAGAUAAAACAUGUUCAGGGAAUUAACUAGUUUGGAGGAAGAAUGAUACAGGUGGAAAAAAAUCCUUGAUUCCCUAAAGAGGCUAAAGACUGGAAGAACUAAAUGACAUGUAUACAUAAACACUAUUUUACAUUGAAGUAGCCCUUGUUGAUCAAAUUUGUGGUAAAAAAAUACAGUGAUUACCCGUUAUUACUUUGAUGUGCAGAAUUGUAUUAAGUUCUCUAAAUUUGUGGAAACUUCUAGUGCAAAUAUUAAUCUUACACUCACAACAGUAGACAAUUAAAAGAAUGAAAGUCCAGAAAUAGGAUUAUUUCAAAUUAUCCAUCACCAUGGGGUCUAUGCUCCUUGAAAUUAUUAAACUAGUUUUAUGGAACAAAAGAAAAUCCUGAAUCGGCGUUCUUGAUUUUACUACAGUCCAUUCAAACCAAUUAGGCACAUCCUCAAAUGGAUGGAAUUAGCUUUAUGCUGAAACAGCUAUUCUAUUCCUUUACUACCAUGAAUUCAUACCCUAAAAAGAGCCUUACUCAACAACAGAGCUGAGUAAGCCACCAUUUAGUACCAGAAAAUAGGGGUUCCUGCAAACCCAAUUGUGGCAGCAUAAACAUCACUUCUACAGUUUAAAAAUUAAAAUUUGUAUACACCUCAUGAAAACAAUUUUGAUGUUUAUUCUAAUGGUUAUGAGAAAAACAAUUAAUCUUUAACAGAUAGAUUAAAAAGAAAACAAAUGAUAUAGACGGCGAAUAACUCUUAGGCACUGAACCAAAAUACAGCCUAGGGGUAGAACAGAGCACAAGUACAGCAGACGUGCACCAUAAUUCAGCAAACAUGGUAAUUUCUACUAGACAAUCACAAUCACAUUGACAUGGAGCAAGCAAAAAGAGAAUAUAAACAAGGAACCAACCUGAUGAUCUGAGAUUUUGACGACGACCAAGAAGAAAUCAUUGUCAACUUCUUUGGUAUCCUUAACCCCAACAACCACAUCCUUCUUCAUCUUAGACAACUUGGGAUCAUCGUCCUCCUUUAUCUCAGUCUCAAACCACCCUUCCUUGAACAAUCUCACGCACACAUCACUAAUCUGAAACGCUUCAAAAUGCACAUCGGCACUCAUAUCUUCAUUCACCUCAAGCUUAACAACCGCAGUAACCCACUCUUUCAACCCACUCUCAGCAUGGUACUCCGCAGCCUGAAGUACCUCCCUAUUCGACAAAGUAUAAUCCUUCUUGUCCUGGCUUAUCGUCUGCGUGAAAAUGAACCCUACCCUCCUCAUCCCCAACCCCGCCGCAAUAGCCUCCACGAGUUUCUCCUCUUCGGGGUCCCUGAAAAACAAGAGAUUCUCCUCUGACCCCUGCUGCGGCGGCUCGUAGAUGAAGUCCACCUCGACCUUCCCCUCCUCGGAAACGUUGCCGUACAUGAAGCCGCCGCGCUUGACCGCGAACGCGAGCGUGUCGUUGACGUAGUGCUGGAACGCGUUAGCGCAAUCGCGGUCGAACGACACGAGCUCGCAGUGCGGAUUCUCCUGGCGCGUGACGCGCAUCUGCUUGGCGAUGAGGUCGUCCAUGGUCAUCUUGCGGCCGAAGGAUCCCGCGGGGUUGAAGGCGGGGCCCGCCACGUGGCGCUCGCCUUCGUAGGUCAAAAAGACGAUGGAGCCGUGAGCGAGGUUGAGAGACGAGAGAGUGACAUCGGGAUUGGCCAUAUCGGUGAAUCGAUGGAGAUCUUCACGCGAUUUCGCCAGUAGAAGGUUCUGGUUGGUGGAGAGGGUUUGGUUCUGAACCGGAAUUCUCAAUUGGGCUUCGAUAAGCCGCUUCAGCCCCAACACUGUGGUGGCGUGCGGGUUUUCGACCAUGACUCGCUCCAGGCCGUCGCGGCUUCGAAGUCUGAGCAUCAUGGUGGAGAAUCGAGGGUUGUUUAUGUUAGGAAUUUGCUUAAGAAUGUGGAAUUAGGGUUAUGCAGAAGAUGAUUAGGAGUGGGAAUUGGGAAUAGAAUGUGGAAUGAGUGAUGGCUUGUGGAAGUAGAAAAGGUGCAGGGAAAGAAAAAGGUUCGAUGGUGAUGAUGACAGUGACACACAGUAAGAAAGAGAAGCUUGUGCCCUUAGAUGUGAUCAAUUAUCUUAUAUAUUGGGUCUAACAACUAAUUCCAAAUUAUGCGUUAAGAUUCUGGAUUCUCAGUUACCAAAUCAAUCUUUUUCUAAACUCUAUAAUUUCUUUUCUUAAUAUAAUAUAUAUCUACAUAAUUUUCUAAGAAUAAUAUUAAAAAAUAAUAAAAUGAUAGAGUUAUAUGUAGCAUUUAUCUUUAAGUAUAAAAUUAUUUAAUUAUUAUUUAUUUAUUAAAUAUAAAGUUAUUUGAUUAAAAUAUUAAAAAAUAUCAAAGAAACGUAUAUCUAUAUAGAUUAAUAAUUCUUUUUGAAAGAAUAUACAUAUUUUAAAAAGUUAUUUGGAAGAUUAAGAUAUUAUUUUACAAAACUAAUCAGCUAAAAUAUAAAUAUAAAAAAAUUGAAAAUUGAACCAAAAAUAUAUUUUAAAAAUAAAAAUUGUAAACAAACAUAUAAAAAUUAAAGAAAAAUCAAUUUGUAAAUAACGGUAAGAUAGAAUAACUAUCUAAUCACAAAAAAAAAAAGGUAUUUGAUAUAUAUAGGAUCUUCUAAAUCUUUAUUCUCGUCUUGUUUUUGUUGACAUGGUAUCUUUUUUUUAUUAUGAAAGUGGCUUAAAUAUAAUUGAGAUAAGAGAUUAUAAUACAAUAUAUAUACAUAUAUUUUAAUUUAUAUUAUAUAAUUUUUUAUAUCAAAAGAUUUGUAUUCAGCGUGAUAUUUUCAGAUAUUUAUAAAUUAUAAGAACUUUUACAUGCAUAUUUAAAUAUUUAAUUAAUUAAAUUAUUAAAUUAACAAUGUUGUCUUUUGAAAACUUGUAUAUUUUUAAUAUUUUAAGGAAAUUAAAUUUUAACGUGUCAAAGUUAUAACGGACUUUUAAAAAGGUAAGUUUGUCAUAUUUUAUAUUGCAUUGUCAUUAUUUUAUUUUUGCGAAAUAUAUAUAUAUAUAUAUAUAUAUAAAUAUAUGUAUGUAAUGACAUAAUAUUAUUGCAUGGUAUAAAUUAAACAUACUAUUAAAUCUUAUCACAUUUUUUUUUCCUAUUCUUGUAUUGUAUGUUACUAUACAAUGAAUAUUGCAGUACACAUGAAUAGGUAUUUAUAACAGUAUAAGAGUGAAAAAAAUUAAAAUUGAAAAUAGUUAAAAGAAACUUUAACGAUGAUAUAAAAUAAUACUGAAUUAAAGAUAUAAAAAAUUAAGUAUAACUUAACUAUUUUAAAUCCUGGAAAUUUUUCUUGUAUAAAAAUUUUAAGUCACAUACUUAUUUUUUUUCUUUGUCAGUUAUUAGUAUCUUUAAACCAACUCGGAAAAAAGUUAAAAUAUAGUAAUAUAUAAUCAUUCAUGUGAAAAAAAAAAUUGAAAAUGUUGAAGUUUUUUAUUAUCAAAUUUCAUAUUUCUUAUGGCGUUGUGUGAGAGAAUGAAACUAAAAAACUUGUGAAACAAGUAAACGUAACAAUAAAAGAAUGAGACAAAUUAAUUUAUAAGAAUACGAGGAAAAUUAAAUGUUGAUUUAAAGUUUUAAUGUUUUAUUACUAUUUAUUUUCAACCUUGUAAGUAGAAAAGUUGUAGGAAUUUUAUUAAAUAUGUUGUUUUAUUUUUAUAUAUGAAAUGUAUUACUAAAAAAUAUUUUUACACAAAAGAUUAAUAUGGUUUUACGAUUCUAAUAUUUUUUAAAAGACAUAUUAAAAUCUAAAAAGUUCUCUAGUUUGAGGUUUUAGUGGUAGAUUAACAUAAAUUACAUUUUAAUAAAUAAAAAAGUUUAAAACAAGAAUAAAAAUAUUAAUAAUAUAAAGAAAAUUCAACUUUCCACCUCAAUAUCCAUAGUUUUUCUUCUUCUUCUUUUCUUCCAUUCUUUAUUUUUCACCUCUCAUCUUAAACAACCUUUAAAUCUCUUUCCAAUUUAAUAUUCAUGGUUUUUGUUUUCUUUUUUUCUUCUUCUUUUAUUCUUUAUUUUUCUUAUAGUUUAAACAAUCUUUAAAUCUCUUAUCUUUUUUGAUAAAUUUUUUAUAUAUCAAGCAAGAACAAUCUUUAAAUCUCUUGUCUUAUAAAACUUUUAUAUAUCUAGCAAGAACGUAACUUCGUAUUAGAGUUGUAAUCUUAUAUAAACUAUUAUACAACACAUUAAGGUAAUAAAUGAGUUUUUAUAAGAUUGUGAUUGAAAUUAUCUCUUUAAAUUUAUAGUUUCCUUAAGAGCAAAAUAAAAUUUAAUGUAAAGGUCUAGCUGUAUCUUAAAUUAUAAAUAAAGACUUGUGAAUACUAUGGAUAUGGAGAUUUGUAUGUGAAAUGGAUAAUCAAAAUUUUGUAUUUUUGUCAUUUCAUAUAAAACAGUGUUAUUAUGUAGUUAUUUUGGUUAAAUAAGACUUAAUUGUGAAAUUGAGUGAUUUGAUUAUAAGAAUUUGAAGUAGUUUAAUGUUAGAUUUAAUGAUUUAUAAUUAAAUAAUUUAUAUUUAUAAGGUUACAAUUCAAAUCAUCUCUCCAACUUUAUGGUUUCCUUAAGAUUGAAGGAAAUUCAGACUUGAUAAUAUUUUUGGAUUUGAAGAUUUAACAUAAUCUAAAGUUAUAAUUUAAACUUUAAACAAACUUGAUAAUAUUUUUGGAUUUGGAGAUUUGCAUAUAAAGUGGAUAAUCAAAAGUUGUUACUUUUGUUAUUUGGUAUAGAUUAGUGUUAUUUUUUAAUUGUUUUGGUGAAAAAACUUAAUUAUAAAAUUGAAUCAUUUAAUUGUAAGAUUUUGAAGUGGUUUGGUGUUAGAUUUAAUGAUUUAUAUUUAAAUGUUGAAAGGUUAUUUGAUUUUUAUUUCAUUUCCAUGAUGCGCGGAUUAAUGAAGGAAGAAAAAGAAGGAUUUUUUUUAUUAAGAUUAGGAUCUUCGCAAGCUGAAACAAUCCGGACCUAGGAGAUAAGUAUACUUAUCGGUCUCAUUCCAUGAUGGACUAACAACAUGAGAAUAAAGAAAUAAUUUUUUUUUUAAUAAAAUGACUUUUCAUUUACCUUGAUCCAGAGGCCAUCAAUUUUAAGAAUAAAGUGUUUAAUUUUAAGUGUUUAGAUAUUAUAAUUUUAUUAUUCAAAUGCUAUAUUUGACUGAAAAUUGUUGGUUAGCUAAUGAAUCAUUUUGAUAUGGAAUGAACCAAUGUUUGAUCUUUAAAAUGAGCAGAAUAAUUAUUACGAGUACGAGAAAGUUAUUCGUCCUACUUUAUAUAAUAUACAUACUGAGAUAUAUAAUAUAUGAAUGAAUAGGCUUCUAAACUAAUUAGUGUGUAAAGAAACUACAUUUUUACAUGUGAGUUGUGAGAAAAUUAAAUGAUUAUGUUAAAAAUUAAAUACAUUUUUACAUCUUUGGUUUACAGGGCUUUCUUUCUCUCUCACUACUCUGUGUUACCUAGGGUUUAUUUCCACUCCUUUUUAUAGUGUAUGUUCUUCCUACGAAUUUCUUCA
Molecule: long non-coding RNA, 14218 nt
Filed under: Phaseolus vulgaris (common bean)
Lineage: Eukaryota; Viridiplantae; Streptophyta; Magnoliopsida; Fabales; Fabaceae
Description: long non-coding RNA (PVUL_LNC005241)
Source: RNAcentral